Molecule: small RNA, 22 nt
Filed under: Arabidopsis thaliana (thale cress)
Lineage: Eukaryota; Viridiplantae; Streptophyta; Magnoliopsida; Brassicales; Brassicaceae
Description: ATSL301080
Source: RNAcentral
GUUUUUUUCUUCUUCUUCAUUU